This 253-nucleotide ribosomal RNA is filed under the name uncultured bacterium. RNAcentral describes it as "partial 16S ribosomal RNA". It matches the Rfam family "Bacterial small subunit ribosomal RNA", at positions 524 to 776 of the family's 1533-position model. The record is from RNAcentral.
UACAGAGGGGGCUAGCGUUGUUCGGAAUUACUGGGCGUAAAGGGCGCGUAGGUGGCCUGUUAAGUCGAACGUGAAAUCCCCGGGCUCAACCCGGGAACUGCGUCCGAGACUGGCAGGCUCGAAUCCGGGAGAGGGAUGUGGAAUUCCAGGUGUAGCGGUGAAAUGCGUAGAUAUCUGGAGGAACACCGGUGGCGAAGGCGGCAUCCUGGACCGGUAUUGACGCUGAGGAGCGAAAGCGUGGGGAGCGAACAGG